Molecule: small nuclear RNA, 134 nt
Organism: Entelurus aequoreus (snake pipefish)
Lineage: Eukaryota; Metazoa; Chordata; Actinopteri; Syngnathiformes; Syngnathidae
Product: U4 spliceosomal RNA
Exons: 1
Source: RefSeq, a predicted model, not a curated record
AUCUUUGUGAAGUGGCAGAAUCAUAGACCAUGAGGUUAAUCCGAGGGGUGAUUAUUGCUAGUUGAAAACUUUACCUAUACCCUGCCUUGAAGACUUGAAAUAUAUGGCAAUUGUUGAUAGAGACCAUUGAGACU